CGUAUGCAUCGAAGGAGAGCCGGGGUACGGACGCCACCGCCGCCACCUGCGGAUGGUCUUCCUGUCCGUCCAUCCGCGCAGCCCACGCGGGCGAGCUGCCGAUCUGGCUGGGCUGCCGGGCCACGCAACGGACGGCAGCGGUUCGAGCAACUCCUCGACGCAGGGGAAAAGGUUGGCGGCGCUGGAGUUCGUCGGAACGGGCAGGCGGCCGGUGGGUGAAGCGAGGCCACGGCGCCGGCGCGAGUAAUACGGGCGGAUCCGGGGGCGGCAGCGACCGAUCUGGCUGCUGGUGCGGUGGCUUGCUCCGGUGGCGACGGCGUCCUGCUCAUCCAUAGAAAGAGAGACAGGGCAUGAGGGAGAAAGGAAUAAAGGAGAAGGAGCAGGGGGCGCAGAGUCAGGGAGGCGGUCGCUAGCGGUGGCAGCUCCGGCGACCGGCCGGCGGGCUUGCCAGGCAAGGCUAUGGAUUACGCUAGCCUGAGAUUCAAUAGAGACACGGUGAUUCUGGUCGGAGCCGUGGCUACGUGAUUCUGGUCGGCGUGCAUCCAUAGUCAGAGGACGCCGAGCCUUCCUCGCUGCCAGCAACAUCAGCUCGUCUCGGCAUGAGGUCUGCACGCUUACCUUGCCUUUCUAAUAGAGACUGAACUGCAAUUUUUGUCUGCGCUGCUUCUUAAAGUAGUCCAUGGUUUGUACAAAUAACCACAUGUAAAUCUUAAUUUAGUUGAUAUUGGAAAAGAUUGUUUCUUUCGAACCAUAUAUGUGGAGCAACUAGAAAUAGUACGUAUGUGUUUUUCCCAGGCUCCCACAUUAGACCAGUGCUCUAAUGUUUGUUCCAGGUUGAGCAUGGCAAUAAUGUACAGUUUGAACUUCGUGAUGGCAGAACUUUUUUGCCUUGAAGUAUUCUGUGAAUUACACCAUGAAUAGCAACAACAUCAGGCCAUUUGAGAGAAGGGGUGUCCCUGGAGUUCUCCCUAAAUCUUACUGCAUUCUUAGUGACAAUGAGGAAUUAUUAUUCACUUGAGAAAAUAAAGAUUAAAUCGGUGAGGCUCUCAAAAAUGAAAUGACUUUCUGAGCUCGGCAUUGACUUUUUGAGCUAGAUAUUGACUUUGAGUAGCACAAUAUAGGUCCUAUCUGAAGCCUUCUGCGUGCCUGUUACAAUGAUCGUUUCAUUUUCCUUUGUAUAUUAACCAGCGAAUAUUAUUGUCUGCUAUAACUGCUGAAAGAUGUCAUAUUCUUUUGUUAUAAUGGUGUUUGCAGUAGGAGUGUAUGCCUCUCAUUCAAAGAAGAGGCUCAACAAUCUUUUGGAUGGGCUUAUGAUUACCACAUAUAUGAUCUUAUGAAGCAGGAGUUGAGAACUACAAAAUCCAUAUAUUCCUAGAAUGGAGCUGGUUGAAGUUGGGCCUUCAAUGGACAUGGUAGUUAGGUGGCACCGACGUUUAGUAAAGCCAAUUUUUGAUGAGGAAAUGCACCAAAAAAAAGUUUAGUGGAAGUGGAUUAGAUUGUUUUGUAGUCAUAUGCUCUUGAGAAAUUUUGCGCUUUCUUUAUUUCUUCUGAUUAUAAUUCUUUGUUUAUUUCUAACUGACAUGAUAUGCAAAAGAAAAUCCUGUGAUUUGUUUGCCCUCUCAUUGACCAUUUAAUUUUUCAGUCAUAGCUAUAUACAAAGAAGUAUUGUACAUAUAGUCAAGGUUUUUGAGUCGCCUAGCCAAGUCGAGUCGCCAUGCCUCCGACUAGUGGCUCGCUGCGAUUAGUCUGCGACUCGUCGUGAUUAAUCGCCCCAAGUCGCCCCAGGUGUUAAGAGGAGGAGGAGGAGGGGGAAGAGGAGGAGGAGGGGGGGGGAAGAGGUGUUGUUGCAGGCGGAGGAGGGGGAAGGCAGCUGCUUGGAGUAUAAUUCAGCUCGGAGAAGGCAGCAGCAGCUCGUAGGAGCAAUGGAGGCGGCGAUUCUGAUGUGGGAUGGGAGCACGUGUCUUGCUCCUCCUCUGUUUCGUGCUAGAGAGCUGGCCCAAUAGGCCCAUUAUGUAACCCUAGCUUCCAGAUAAAAAUCCCAACCGUCCAUAUGCUCUAAUCUGAACUGUGCAUCUGCUCCCAUGUGCCUUUCUCCUUCGUCUCUUCCGUGCUUCUCCUCGUACAGGCGGCGCACUCUCCAGCUUUGUCUCCUCCUCCCCUCCCUCGAACUCUGGCCUCCUCACCUUCCCAGUCUUCCCUCCCUUGGCCUUGCUGAAGCAAGCCGCCCUGCUAUGAGGUCCUAGUCACCCGACUAGUCGUCGACUAAUCGUCGACUAGCCUACCAGUCGCGCGACUCGCUCCUCAAGCCAAGUCGCCUGCGCAAGCCAACCUCGCUCCAACAACUUGGCGAUUAGUCGGCGAUUAGUCGGCGACUCAAAAACCUUGCAUAUAGUUUUGUGUUUUCGGAAACGUCUAAAGGCUUGUUACAUGCAUCAUUUUCUCUUCCAUAUCCUUCAUCUGAAACUGAAAAUAUGAACCAUUUUGUUGAUAUGAACAUUAGUUGCAAGGUGAAUAAAUAGUGGUCGACGAUGUGGCUGGAUGUACAUGAGCAUAUGUUGUAUCUUUGACGCCAUUCAUUUUGAAUCAUUAGAAUAAUAAAAUAGGUUUGUUUGGAUAAUUAUUUUCCAGGUUUCUAAACACAUUUAUUUAUCUAUUUUGUAUCCACACAUAUGUUUCCCUAAAUAAAAUGACUGUACAAUUGUGUGAACUGAGUGGCUGGUCGUUACUGUAGAUUAAAUUUCUCACAUUAAGAAUCUUUGCCUGAUGCUACAAAAAAAAUCUAUGUUUUGUAGCAGGAUUAAUGAUCAAAUAUAUCCUUUUUAUUGUAAAUAUUUUAGUCUGCUACUUUGUUCAUUAAUUUUUCUGGGUAUUUAUGCUUAAGUUUUAUUUCAAAGCAAAAUCAUAUUGAGCUAUCUACAAGUUAGAAUUGUCCAAAACGGUUUUUGUAACAUUGUAUAUCAUGUGUUUUCUCUUUUAUUCAUAACAUAAUAUGCAGUCACACAAUUUAUAUCUCGGUUGUGAAUUCCAGAGGGAAGGAUAGCCUUCCUGGCAGUUAGAGCUUCGUCACUUGCUGAUCUAACAGUAUAGACAAGCAAUGCAAGCCAACCAAGAAAAAUAGUUAGGGAAGCACCGAGUUCGCCGGAGGUAGCAGAACGUUUGUCGAGCCAUCCAAUAUUGCCAACGGUGGCUACACCAGAGGUAUGUGAUGCCUCGACCACCCUCAGAAACAGCCUUGCUAUUCCCCCUUCCCUUUCUUCUUGAGAUUGUCGUAUCAUCGUCUCCCUGUAAUGUGAUGUAGCACUGUACUAUGCACUUCAGCACUAAGCCCAGAACCUAGCUAGCUUACUUGAGGGUCGGCUCCGGAUUUUGACGAUUGUGUUUGUGUAUAAUUUGUGAGGGGCUGUAGAGAGUCAAUUAACAAGUCAAUUAAUACAAACCUGUUUUUCUCUACGGUCCUCUGAACAUACUCGCUAUAAGAACAUAUAUUUCAAUAUUUGAGCACUGAAAAAAUUGUCAAAUUGACUGGCUGCCUUGUGAAGAAGUAGCAAGAACGAACUCAGGAAAUUCUGCAAAUGAUAUCAGCAUUGGUUUGUGUAGAACUGUGGAUGUUUCUCUUGCAAGUCUAGGUUUUAGACAAAAAAAUCCUGCAGUUGAGGUAAUUUUUUUUUGUUAGGAAUUAGGAGAAUUGUUAUGUACUCCCUCCGUCCGAAAAUACUUGUCAUUGAAAUGGAUGUAUCUAGAUGUAUUUUAGUUGUAGAUGCAUCCAUUUUGAUGACAAGUAUUUCCGGACGGAGGGAGUAGUAAAAUUACCAAAAUUCUUACAAAAUAUUCUGCAAGUUUUGUUUGCCGCUGCUCAGUCAAGCAAAGCCAACUGCUCGCCACUAUAUGUGGUUCUCUUGCCAUGUCAUGGGGUGCAACCACAAGUGGCACAAGACUGUAGUUGUGGUGUUCUAAAAUUUACUGAUGUUGAUGUUUCUUUUCAAGAUUGUGGUAUUGUUUACCAAUUUGGUCCCCGGAUUAUGUACUCAUUUCCUUUUCUAUUCUUUGUAGAUAAUUUGCUUCAGUUAAUCGAACUACAUGCUGAAACAUGUGUAUUGUUUCUCAAUAUAUUGGGCAUCAAUUCACCCCUCAUGAGAUCUCUGAAUUUUCUACGCAUAUUGUAUUUGCUGAAUUAUUUCCUCCAGAUAACUAUGCUUGGAUUCACAAAUGCGUGCAAUGCUUUCAAGUAGAGGUUAGUUCAAUACUUAAGUUGUGAUAUUCCACUUUCAACUUUUUGGUCCUAGAAGUGUACUACUUGGUAGGUUAGCUGCAAAAGCGGAAUGUAUAUGGCCUGAAUUUAUAUUUCAGAGUGUAUAAUCUGAUUCAGAGUAUUUUGACCCCUUGCGUUCUAAAACAUUUUGUUGUAUCGUUC
Molecule: long non-coding RNA, 4411 nt
Organism: Triticum dicoccoides
Lineage: Eukaryota; Viridiplantae; Streptophyta; Magnoliopsida; Poales; Poaceae
Exons: 2
Source: RefSeq, a predicted model, not a curated record